RNAcentral lists this ribosomal RNA (252 nucleotides) under uncultured bacterium. RNAcentral's name for it is "partial 16S ribosomal RNA". It matches the Rfam family "Bacterial small subunit ribosomal RNA", at positions 524 to 776 of the family's 1533-position model. The record is from RNAcentral.
UACGUAGGUCCCGAGCGUUGUCCGGAUUUAUUGGGCGUAAAGCGAGCGCAGGUGGUUUAUUAAGUCUGGUGUAAAAGGUAGUGGCUCAACCAUUGUAUGCAUUGGAAACUGGUAGACUUGAGUGCAGGAGAGGAGAGUGGAAUUCCAUGUGUAGCGGUGAAAUGCGUAGAUAUAUGGAGGAACACCGGUGGCGAAGGCGGCUUUCUGGACUGAAACUGACGCUGAGGCUCGAAAGCGUGGGGAGCGAACAGG